AGGACUAGUCCCUCCUUGGAAAACAAAUAACACAGCUGUAAGUGCCUGGAAUCAAAGGCCACACAGACCCUCAUCGGAUCCGCCUCCUAGCUGGCCCGGGUCAGUGAUGCACUUAUUGUAAGGGGACCAGCUCCUGAAAGGCCCAACCUUCGAGGCACAGAAAAGAUUUUAAACGACUCAUCGGUCAAGUCCAAGCAAUGGAGCCCACAGGCAAAGCAGGGCCACGUCCUGGGAUCCUCGGCAGCACGCAUCAUUUCAGCAAUUCCAAGAGGAUUUCAAAUGGAAUCACAAAACUUUUCUUCUCGGUAUAGUUCAACUGCCUCCAUGAUCCUCUCAGCCUACACAGACGAGGACAAAGGACAGACGUCACCGGGACACACUCCAUCCCAGAACACUGUGCCCGGAGGGCCCGAUGGGAAAAUCACCAAAG
Myotis myotis is the source of this 430-nucleotide long non-coding RNA. RefSeq lists it as uncharacterized. The record is from RefSeq and is a predicted model, not a curated record. The transcript is spliced from 4 exons. Lineage: Eukaryota; Metazoa; Chordata; Mammalia; Chiroptera; Vespertilionidae.